Molecule: unclassified non-coding RNA, 193 nt
Filed under: Lactiplantibacillus plantarum
Lineage: Bacteria; Bacillati; Bacillota; Bacilli; Lactobacillales; Lactobacillaceae
Description: Lactobacillus plantarum partial 16S-23S ribosomal RNA intergenic spacer
Source: RNAcentral
AAGGAAUAUUACGGAAACCUACACACGCGUCGAAACUUUGUUUAUUUUUGAGAGUUUUAACUCUCAAAACUUGUUCUUUGAAAACUAGAUAAUAUCAAAUAUAUUUUUUCAUAAUGAAACCGAGAACACCGCGUUUUUUGAGUUUUUUAUUGAAGUUUAAUUAUCGCUAAACUCAUUAAUCGCAUUUACCGUU